UACGUAGGGCGCAAGCGUUGUCCGGAAUUAUUGGGCGUAAAGAGCUUGUAGGGGGCUCGUUGCGUCGGGGGUGAAAACCUGCGGCUUAACCGCAGGCCUGCUUCCGAUACGGGCGAGCUAGAGUUCGGCAGGGGAGACUGGAAUUCCUGGUGUAGCGGUGGAAUGCGCAGAUAUCAGGAGGAACACCGGUGGCGAAGGCGGGUCUCUGGGCCGUAACUGACGCUGAGGAGCGAAAGCAUGGGGAGCGAACAGG
Molecule: ribosomal RNA, 253 nt
Filed under: uncultured bacterium
Lineage: Bacteria
Description: partial 16S ribosomal RNA
Rfam family: Bacterial small subunit ribosomal RNA
Source: RNAcentral